RNAcentral lists this ribosomal RNA (514 nucleotides) under uncultured Glomeromycotina. Its description in RNAcentral is "SSU rRNA". It matches the Rfam family "Eukaryotic small subunit ribosomal RNA", at positions 563 to 1078 of the family's 1831-position model. The record is from RNAcentral. Lineage: Eukaryota; Fungi; Glomeromycota.
GGUGCCAGCAGCCGCGGUAAUUCCAGCUCCAAUAGCGUAUAUUAAAGUUGUUGCAGUUAAAAAGCUCGUAGUUGAAUUUCGGGAUUAGUAAGUUGGUCGUGCCUCUGGUAUGUACUGGCUUUACUGAUUCCUCCUUCUUGAAGAACUGUAAUGUCAUUAAUUUGGUGUUGCAGGGAAACAGGACUGUUACUUUGAAAAAAUUAGAGUGUUUAAAGCAGGCUAACGCUUGAAUACAUUAGCAUGGAAUAAUGAAAUAGGACGUUUGAUCCUAUUUUGUUGGUUUCUAGGAUUGACGUAAUGAUUAAUAGGGAUAGUUGGGGGCAUUAGUAUUCAAUUGUCAGAGGUGAAAUUCUUGGAUUUAUUGAAGACUAACUACUGCGAAAGCAUUUGCCAAGGAUGUUUUCAUUAAUCAAGAACGAAAGUUAGGGGAUCGAAGACGAUCAGAUACCGUCGUAGUCUUAACCAUAAACUAUGCCGACUAGGGAUCGGAUGAUGUUAAUUUUUUAAUGACUCA